RNAcentral lists this ribosomal RNA (460 nucleotides) under uncultured bacterium. RNAcentral's name for it is "partial 16S ribosomal RNA". It matches the Rfam family "Bacterial small subunit ribosomal RNA", at positions 338 to 795 of the family's 1533-position model. The record is from RNAcentral.
CCUACGGGAGGCAGCAGUGAGGAAUAUUGGUCAAUGGACGAGAGUCUGAACCAGCCAAGUAGCGUGAAGGAUGACUGCCCUAUGGGUUGUAAACUUCUUUUAUAUGGGAAUAAAAUGUUCCACGUGUGGGAUUCUGUAUGUACCAUAUGAAUAAGGAUCGGCUAACUCCGUGCCAGCAGCCGCGGUAAUACGGAGGAUCCGAGCGUUAUCCGGAUUUAUUGGGUUUAAAGGGAGCGUAGGUGGAUUGUUAAGUCAGAUGUGAAAGUUUGCGGCUCAACCGUAAAAUUGCAGUUGAUACUGGCAGUCUUGAGUACAGUAGAGGUGGGCGGAAUUCGUGGUGUAGCGGUGAAAUGCUUAGAGAUCACGAAGAACCCCGAUUGCGAAGGCAGCUUACUAAGCUGUGACUGACAUUGAGGCUCGAAAGUGUGGGGAUCAAACAGGAUUAGAUACCCCUGUAGUC